This 70-nucleotide ribosomal RNA is filed under the name Coprinopsis sp. TPN-2017. RNAcentral describes it as "partial 28S ribosomal RNA". Lineage: Eukaryota; Fungi; Basidiomycota; Agaricomycetes; Agaricales; Psathyrellaceae. The record is from RNAcentral.
UUACUUGACAAACUUGACCUCAAAUCAGGUAAGACUACCCGCUGAACUUAAGCAUAUCAAUAGCGGAGGA